AAGGCUUUAAGUUAAAUAAACUAAUAGCCUUCAAAGCUGACAAUAAAGAACCUCUUUAAGCCUUA
This 65-nucleotide transfer RNA is filed under the name Perlesta teaysia. RNAcentral's name for it is "tRNA-Trp". Lineage: Eukaryota; Metazoa; Arthropoda; Insecta; Plecoptera; Perlidae. The record is from RNAcentral.